This 628-nucleotide ribosomal RNA is filed under the name uncultured bacterium. RNAcentral describes it as "bacterial SSU rRNA". It matches the Rfam family "Bacterial small subunit ribosomal RNA", at positions 51 to 668 of the family's 1533-position model. The record is from RNAcentral.
ACACAUGCAAGUCGAACGGUAACAGGAAGAAGCUUGCUUCUUUGCUGACGAGUGGCGGACGGGUGAGUAAUGUCUGGGAAACUGCCUGAUGGAGGGGGAUAACUACUGGAAACGGUAGCUAAUACCGCAUAACGUCGCAAGACCAAAGAGGGGGACCUUCGGGCCUCUUGCCAUCGGAUGUGCCCAGAUGGGAUUAGCUUGUUGGUGGGGUAACGGCUCACCAAGGCGACGAUCCCUAGCUGGUCUGAGAGGAUGACCAGCCACACUGGAACUGAGACACGGUCCAGACUCCUACGGGAGGCAGCAGUGGGGAAUAUUGCACAAUGGGCGCAAGCCUGAUGCAGCCAUGCCGCGUGUAUGAAGAAGGCCUUCGGGUUGUAAAGUACUUUCAGCGGGGAGGAAGGGAGUAAAGUUAAUACCUUUGCUCAUUGACGUUACCCGCAGAAGAAGCACCGGCUAACUCCGUGCCAGCAGCCGCGGUAAUACGGAGGGUGCAAGCGUUAAUCGGAAUUACUGGGCGUAAAGCGCACGCAGGCGGUUUGUUAAGUCAGAUGUAAAAUCCCCGGGCUCAACCUGGGAACUGCAUCUGAUACUGGCAAGCUUGAGUCUCGUAGAGGGGGGUAGAAUU